AUGAACGCUGGCGGCGUGCCUAACACCUGCAAGUCGAGCGGCAGCGAGGGGUGCUUGCACCCUGUCGGCGAGCGGCGGACGGCUGAGUAACGCGUGGGAACGUGCCCCAAAGUGAGGAAUAACUGCCCGAAAGGGUAGCUAAUACCGCAUAUUAUCUUCGGAUCAAAGGAUUUAUCCGCUUUGGGAGCGGCUCGCGUCGGAUUAGGUAGUUGGUGAGGUAAUGGCUCACCAAGCCGACGAUCCGUAGCUGGUCUGAGAGGAUGACCAGCCAGACUGGAACUGAGACACGGUCCAGACUCCUACGGGAGGCAGCAGUGAGGAAUCUUCCACAAUGGGCGAAAGCCUGAUGGAGCAACGCCGCGUGCAGGACGAAGGCCUUCGGGUUGUAAACUGCUUUUAUAAGUGAGGAAUAUGACGGUAACUUAUGAAUAAGGAUCGGCUAACUACGUG
This 450-nucleotide ribosomal RNA is filed under the name uncultured bacterium. RNAcentral's name for it is "partial 16S ribosomal RNA". It matches the Rfam family "Bacterial small subunit ribosomal RNA", at positions 29 to 507 of the family's 1533-position model. The record is from RNAcentral.